Molecule: transfer-messenger RNA, 350 nt
Filed under: Oscillospiraceae
Lineage: Bacteria; Bacillati; Bacillota; Clostridia; Eubacteriales
Also listed under: 1 other name
Description: Limivicinus sp017652685 Standard tmRNA
Rfam family: transfer-messenger RNA
About the family: Bacterial tmRNA, also known as 10Sa RNA or SsrA, is named for its dual tRNA and mRNA-like properties. Its role is to liberate the mRNA from a stalled ribosome.
Source: RNAcentral
GGGGGUGUCACGGUUUCGACGGGGGCGCGGAAUCAUGAAUAGCGGGCGGAUGCGCCUGGCAUCCUUAAAACGGGCACUUUUUAUAAAUUAAAGAACAACGAUAACACUGUUCUUCUCGCUGCUUGAUCAGUGAGCGUUCUGCCCGGGAGGACCACGGCCCGGGACAGGGCGUCGACUAGUGGUGAACGUGAGUACGCUAAGCUUUGCGCGUGCCACGCAUCAUGAAGCUACUGAACCCGUGAGAGUGACGGCUCUCGCUCGGGUGAGGGAAUGUAAAUAACCGUCUGCGCCCGGAGAGGUUCCUGAGGAUGUACCUUCGGACAGGGGUUCAACUCCCCUCACCUCCACCA